GUCGAGCGGAUCUUCAUUAGCUUGCUUUUGAAGAUCAGCGGCGGACGGGUGAGUAACACGUGGGCAACCUGCCUGUAAGACUGGGAUAACUUCGGGAAACCGGAGCUAAUACCGGAUAAUCCUUUCCCUCACAUGAGGGAAAGCUGAAAGACGGUUUCGGCUGUCACUUACAGAUGGGCCCGCGGCGCAUUAGCUAGUUGGUGAGGUAACGGCUCACCAAGGCAACGAUGCGUAGCCGACCUGAGAGGGUGAUCGGCCACACUGGGACUGAGACACGGCCCAGACUCCUACGGGAGGCAGCAGUAGGGAAUCUUCCGCAAUGGACGAAAGUCUGACGGAGCAACGCCGCGUGAACGAUGAAGGCUUUCGGGUCGUAAAGUUCUGUUGUCAGGGAAGAACAAGUACCGGAGUAACUGCCGGUACCUUGACGGUACCUGACCA
RNAcentral lists this ribosomal RNA (441 nucleotides) under Bacillus sp. SD-1. Its description in RNAcentral is "bacterial SSU rRNA". It matches the Rfam family "Bacterial small subunit ribosomal RNA", at positions 61 to 485 of the family's 1533-position model. Lineage: Bacteria; Bacillati; Bacillota; Bacilli; Caryophanales; Bacillaceae. The record is from RNAcentral.